Equus caballus (horse) is the source of this 86-nucleotide non-coding RNA. The record is from Rfam. Lineage: Eukaryota; Metazoa; Chordata; Mammalia; Perissodactyla; Equidae.
CUGUGUGCAGUGUCCUACUCAGAAAGGUGGUGAUCGCUUAGACUGCAUGUAGUUGGUACCUUCCUGGGUGGACUGAUGCUCAACAG